AAACUCAAAGGAAUUGAGGGGCCCGCACAAGCGGUGGAGCAUGUGGUUUAAUUCGAUGCAACGCGAAGAACCUUACCUACCCUUGACAUGUCCGGAACUUGCCAGAGAUGGCUUGGUGCCCGAAAGGGAAUCGGAACACAGGUGCUGCAUGGCUGUCGUCAGCUCGUGUCGUGAGAUGUUGGGUUAAGUCCCGCAACGAGCGCAACCCUUAUCAUUAGUUGCUACGCAAGGGCACUCUAAUGAGACUGCCGGUGACAAACCGGAGGAAGGUGGGGAUGACGUCAAGUCCUCAUGGCCCUUAUGGGUAGGGCUUCACACGUCAUACAAUGGUCGGUACAGAGGGUUGCCAACCCGCGAGGGGGAGCUAAUCCCACAAAGCCGAUCGUAGUCCGGAUCGCAGUCUGCAACUCGACUGCGUGAAGUCGGAAUCGCUAGUAAUCGUGGAUCAGCAUGUCACGGUGAAUACGUUCCCGGGUCUU
RNAcentral lists this ribosomal RNA (479 nucleotides) under uncultured Curvibacter sp. Its description in RNAcentral is "bacterial SSU rRNA". It matches the Rfam family "Bacterial small subunit ribosomal RNA", at positions 897 to 1382 of the family's 1533-position model. Lineage: Bacteria; Pseudomonadati; Pseudomonadota; Betaproteobacteria; Burkholderiales; Comamonadaceae. The record is from RNAcentral.